AGUACACACCAAGGAGCAAGUUGGUGCCAUCUGGAUCAUGUGCUCUUCCUUUGUGUGAAAAGGUGGCAGCAGCAAUUCUGAGAAGACAUAUGAUGAAUAGAAGUGUGGCUCCAGGCAGGAAAUCAAGAGCAUAAGGACAGUGGCUACCUGAAAGCCUAAAAGAUGCAGAAGACCAAGACGGGGGGUGGACCAGAAAACCCCAGCAUUUUGGGGAGGUAUGGAGGACCAGAGUACUGAUGUGGAAUGGCUACCUUGAGUUCAACUGCCAGUCUAGGUUCUCAGCGGUGACUGGACAAGCCAGUUCUAGAGUUGGUGACAGCCUCAGAAAUUUUCCUCAGUGGUGUGGCAGCAGAGGAAAAUUUGUAUCCGUGGCUUACCAGUGUCUGCUGUGGAUGAGCACUUCUUCCUCGGUAAUGGAUGUCCUGCCCUGCCUUCUGCCACCUUCUUACACUGGACCUUCUUCAGGGGAAUCCCUGCGUAUGAAGAGCAUCCCAGGGGUAACUCACAGUUGGAUGGGACUGGAGCGCUCCUGUUCAGGGCUGGGAGACUUUAAGUGGAGCUAUAGGAGCUGCUAAUGACAUUUCGCUUGAAACAGCAGGCCUGGGAGAUCUCAGCUGUCUUGGGAGUUCUGGGUACAGAGGUUUCCCUGCAGAGCCCCAGGCCUGGGCACAAAGAAAGUCAGGUGACUGUGGGCCACCAGGAUCCUAACACCAGUCACUGGAGUGGCACAAUCUGCUUUUAGGAUCCUGAAAUCUAGCCAAUGGCAGUGACAUUAACUCAUAAUCCUAUAUAUAUAUUUUCAUGUGGAAAUUUAAGUUUUUAGAAGUUUCUAAAUAAUACCUUAAAAGGAGUUGGGAGGCCCUUUGUACACAUGAUUUUUGACUAAGUGUACAAUAAACUUUAACCCAGUUAGCUGAAGUACAAUUGUAACAUAUUACUUGGAACAAAAUGAUCAGAAGGUUAUCUAAAUGUUUGUUAAUAUUCCAAUUUUGGAUAAAAGAUAUCCAAAAUGAAGAUAAGUGUGCUUAAAUUUCAGGAGUGGAGCUAGCUGAAUUGCAUCCCAAUAAGCCACAUCUUUCUUGAGAUAGCUCUAAUUUCUAUGCAGGUUCCACAUAGCCUCACCCACUCUUCCCUGAGUUCCAGUGUCCAAUUGCCAGACCUGUGGUGUUUCCUUACUGUUCUCCUAUCAGACAAAAGGAAAACAGCAUGUAUUCCUUCUGCGUGUAAGAGUAGCAAGUAAAAUGGCUUUGUGAUUGUGAGAAUUUUCUCCAAGGAGUGCCCUAAAUUAAAAACACUAUUGUAGAAAGUUUGUAUUUCUUUCUUUUCUCCCAUUUAAUAUCCAAGAUGCAAAAAAUACACCUAAAGAUGCUAAGAAACCUUCAUGAUUUAUUGUUUUUAAUAUAACAAAAUAACAUUAUAAUGGCAAAAGAAUCUGCUUUAUCCAAUGUGUUUUGACAUCUUCCAUUUGAGAAGCUUGGAUCCUAAGUCCCUGAAAUUCUGAAGAUUAUGGAAAUGUGAAAUAUGUUUUUAAAGUAUGAAUACUUCUUUAUUUGGAAAGCUUACUGAUAUUUUUCAGGUAUUCUGUAAACUCCAUGAAACUGUAUUCAAAGAUAAUGGAAGGUUUUGGAAGGUACAUUUAUAAGGUAUUCCUGUUACUAUGAAAUUUACAAAUAUAAAAUCAAUAAAAAAUAUAUUAGGUUCUGGA
Non-coding RNA from Ictidomys tridecemlineatus (thirteen-lined ground squirrel), 1705 nucleotides. NCBI's taxonomy places the organism in Eukaryota, Metazoa, Chordata, Mammalia, Rodentia, Sciuridae. The record is from RefSeq and is a predicted model, not a curated record.